RNAcentral lists this transfer RNA (75 nucleotides) under Actinomadura violacea. Its description in RNAcentral is "Actinomadura sp. LCR2-06 tRNA-Pro". It matches the Rfam family "tRNA". From Rfam's summary of the family: Transfer RNA (tRNA) molecules are approximately 80 nucleotides in length. Their secondary structure includes four short double-helical elements and three loops (D, anti-codon, and T loops). Lineage: Bacteria; Bacillati; Actinomycetota; Actinomycetes; Streptosporangiales; Thermomonosporaceae. The record is from RNAcentral.
CGGGACGUACGUCAGGUUGGUCAGACGGCCCGGUCCGGAACCGGGAGGCCGCAGGUUCGAAUCCUGCCGUCCCGA